CACAGACUGGGCAGCCAGCUAUGGGUUCAAAUCUGGGUCCUGUCACUGGAGCAGAGUGACCUUGAACAAGUGACGUCACAUCUCUGACCCUGCGUUUCCUAUCUGUAAAAUGGGGAUAUUGAUAGGUAUCUUACAGCCUUGUUUUGACAAUGAAACUGAAAUAAAGUUUGCGAAAUGUGAAGCCGACUACGGGUGUGUAGUGAGCUGUACGAGAGGAUUGGGUUCCUAAUUUUAGUGCUUUUAAGUGGUCCAGGUGCCCGGGUGCUCAGGCCUUGGAGCUGCUGCCCAAAUACCAGCAAUUCCUUGAGGCGGGAGCCCUGCCAGGAGCUCACUCCUGCUGAACACGGGUCUACGCGCACAGCUUUUCAAAGGCCCAGAUAAGGUUCUGACGUUGCUCCCAGUGGCAGCUGGAGGCCACCCUCAGCAUCCAUCCCCAGGUCCGGACCAGCCAGCUGGCCCACUGAUGUCCUGUGCUGGUCACUGGGGAGGAAAGAUGUCCCAGCCUUGAGGUCUGGACUCAGCCCCUGCAGAGGAUACUCAUCCAGAGUCCCAGGCUGCAGAGCCACAGCCCUCGGGGCCCCAUGGGAGUCGGGCCCUGCCUGCUGGUGCCUCCUCCCAACGGCAGAGCCACAGCUCCCUCUGUCUCCACUCCUGUUCCACCCCUUCUGGAUCCCGCACCCGAGGCCGUCCCUGCCAGCCAGACGAACGUCAGGAGCCAUCUGCUGCCUGAGCCAGCACAGCUGCCAGGAACGUGCUCGCGUCCAUAGCAUAAACUCAGGACGGUGAUGGCCCUGGAAUGGGAACAGAACGAGACCGGGAAACUCAUUU
This 828-nucleotide long non-coding RNA is filed under the name Equus asinus (donkey). RNAcentral describes it as "lncRNA (ENSEASG00005029340.1)". The record is from RNAcentral. Lineage: Eukaryota; Metazoa; Chordata; Mammalia; Perissodactyla; Equidae.